Molecule: small nucleolar RNA, 127 nt
Organism: Cercocebus atys (sooty mangabey)
Lineage: Eukaryota; Metazoa; Chordata; Mammalia; Primates; Cercopithecidae
Source: Ensembl
AUGCAUCUAUUUAACAGAACCUGGAGCAGUUAUUAUCUACUGCUAAGGUUUCCACUACAGAUGCAAGAAAAAAGUGUCCUCGAGCUUUCUGAUUGUGACAGCCAAAACUGAAUGGGGGAAUACGGGG